RNAcentral lists this ribosomal RNA (1432 nucleotides) under Kocuria rosea. RNAcentral's name for it is "bacterial SSU rRNA". It matches the Rfam family "Bacterial small subunit ribosomal RNA". The record is from RNAcentral. Lineage: Bacteria; Bacillati; Actinomycetota; Actinomycetes; Micrococcales; Micrococcaceae.
AGCUGGGCAUGACGCUAGCCAGGUACCCAUUAUGGUAUAGAGGCAGGACUGACAUGCUGCCCAGCUUGCUGGGCGGAUUAGUGGCGAACGGGUGAGUAACCCGUGAGUAACCUGCCCUUGACUCUGGGAUAAGCCUGGGAAACUGGGUCUAAUUUUGGAUACUACCUCUUACCGCAUGGUGGGUGGUGGAAGGGGUUGGACUGGUUUUGGAUGGGCUCACGGCCUAUCAGCUUGUUGGUGGGGUAAUGGCUCACCAAGCCGACGACGGGUAGCCGGCCUGAGAGGGUGACCGGCCUUUCUGGGACUGAGACACGGCCCAGACUCCUACGGGAGGCAGCAGUGGGGAAUAUUGCACAAUGGGCGGAUGCCUGAUGCAGCGACGCCGCGUGAGGGAUGACGGCCUUCGGGUUGUAAACCUCUUUCAGUAGGGAAGAAGCGAGAGUGACGGUACCUGCAGAAGAAGCGCCGGCUAACUACGUGCCAGCAGCCGCGGUAAUACGUAGGGCGCAAGCGUUGUCCGGAAUUAUUGGGCGUAAAGAGCUCGUAGGCGGUUUGUCGCGUCUGCUGUGAAAGCCCGGGGCUUAAUUCCGGGUCUGCAGUGGGUACGGGCAGACUAGAGUGCAGUAGGGGAGACUGGAAUUCCUGGUGUAGCGGUGAAAUGCGCAGAUAUCAGGAGGAACACCGAUGGCGAAGGCAGGUGUCUGGGCUGUUACUGACGCUGAGGAGCGAAAGCAUGGGGAGCGAACAGGAUUAGAUACCCUGGUAGUCCAUGCCGUAAACGUUGGGCACUAGGUGUGGGGGACAUUCCACGUUAACCGCGCCGUAGCUAACGCAUUAAGUGCCCCGCCUGGGGAGUACGGCCGCAAGGCUAAAACUCAAAGGAAUUGACGGGGGCCCGCACAAGCGGCAGAGCAUGCGGAUUAAUUCGAUGCAACGCGAAGAACCUUACCAAGGCUUGACAUUCACCGGACCGCCCCAGAGAUGGGGUUUCCCUUCGGGGCUGGUGGACAGGUGGUGCAUGGUUGUCGUCAGCUCGUGUCGUGAGAUGUUGGGUUAAGUCCCGCAACGAGCGCAACCCUCGUUCUAUGCCGCCAGCACGUGAUGGUGGGGACUCAUAGGAGACUGCGGGGUCAACUCGGAGGAAGGUGGGGAUGACGUCAAAUCAUCAUGCCCCUUAUGUCUUGGGCUUCACGCAUGCUACAAUGGCCGGUACAAAGGGUUGCGAUACUGUGAGGUGGAGCUAAUCCCAAAAAGCCGGUCUCAGUUCGGAUUGAGGUCUGCAACUCGACCUCAUGAAGUCGGAGUCGCUAGUAAUCGCAGAUCAGCAACGCUGCGGUGAAUACGUUCCCGGGCCUUGUACACACCGCCCGUCAAGUCACGAAAGUUGGUAACACCUUAAGCCGGUGGCCUAACCCCUUGUGGGAGAGAGCCG